RNAcentral lists this ribosomal RNA (253 nucleotides) under uncultured bacterium. Its description in RNAcentral is "partial 16S ribosomal RNA". It matches the Rfam family "Bacterial small subunit ribosomal RNA", at positions 524 to 776 of the family's 1533-position model. The record is from RNAcentral.
UACGGAGGAUGCGAGCGUUAUCCGGAUUUAUUGGGUUUAAAGGGUGCGUAGGCGGAUUGUUAAGUCAGUUGUGAAAGUUUGCGGCUCAACCGUAAAAUUGCAGUUGAAACUGGCAGUCUUGAGUACAGUAGAGGUGGGCGGAAUUCGUGGUGUAGCGGUGAAAUGCUUAGAUAUCACGAAGAACUCCGAUUGCGAAGGCAGCUCACUAGACUGCAACUGACACUGAUGCUCGAAAGUGUGGGUAUCAAACAGG